RNAcentral lists this ribosomal RNA (542 nucleotides) under uncultured bacterium. RNAcentral describes it as "bacterial SSU rRNA". It matches the Rfam family "Bacterial small subunit ribosomal RNA", at positions 777 to 1319 of the family's 1533-position model. The record is from RNAcentral.
AAUAGAUACCCGGGUAGUCCACGCCGUAAACGUUGGGCACUAGGUGUGGGUCUCAACCAACGAGAUCCGCGCCGUCGCUAACGCAUUAAGUGCCCCGCCUGGGGAGUACGGCCGCAAGGCUAAAACUCAAAGAAAUUGACGGGGGCCCGCACAAGCGGCGGAGCAUGCGGAUUAAUUCGAUGCAACGCGAAGAACCUUACCAAGGCUUGACAUACACCGGAAACUUCCAGAGAUGGUUGCCCCGCAAGGUCGGUGUACAGGUGGUGCAUGGUUGUCGUCAGCUCGUGUCGUGAGAUGUUGGGUUAAGUCCCGCAACGAGCGCAACCCUCGUCCUAUGUUGCCAGCGGGUCAUGCCGGGGACUCAUAGGAGACUGCCGGGGUCAACUCGGAGGAAGGUGGGGAUGACGUCAAAUCAUCAUGCCCCUUAUGUCUUGGGCUUCACGCAUGCUACAAUGGCCGGUACAAAGGGCUGCAAUACCGCGAGGUGGAGCGAAUCCCAAAAAGCCGGUCUCAGUUCGGAUUGGGGUCUGCAACUCGACCCC